AGAGUUUGAUCCUGGCUCAGAAUCAACGCUGGCGGCGCGCCUAACACAUGCAAGUCGAACGAGAAAGCGGGAGCAAUCUCGCAAGUAAAGUGGCGUACGGGUGAGUAACACGUGGAUUAUCUGCCCUGGAGUGGGGAAUAACGCUGGGAAACCGGCGCUAAUACCGCAUAUUCCCGAGAGGGGAAAGCAGCAAUGCGCUCGAGGAGGAGUCCGCGGCCGAUUAGCUAGUUGGCAGGGUAAAAGCCUACCAAGGCUGUGAUCGGUAGCCGGCCUGAGAGGGCACACGGCCACACUGGCACUGAGACACGGGCCAGACUCCUACGGGAGGCAGCAGUGGGGAAUCUUGCACAAUGGGGGAAACCCUGAUGCAGCGACGCCGCGUGAGCGAUGAAGCCCUUCGGGGUGUAAAGCUCUUUCGGCAGGGAAGAUGAUGACGGUACCUGCAGAAGCAGCUGCGGCUAACUACGUGCCAGCAGCCGCGGUAAUACGUAGGCAGCAAGCGUUGUUCGGAGUUACUGGGCGUAAAGGGUGUGUAGGCGGCUCUCUAAGUUUGGUGUGAAAUCUCCCGGCUCAACCGGGAGGGUGCGCCGAAAACUGGAGGGCUAGAGUGCGGGAUGGGAGAGUAGAAUUCCUGGUGUAGCGGUGAAAUGCGUAGAUAUCAGGAGGAAUACCGGUGGUGUAGACGGCUCUCUGGACCGCAACUGACGCUGAAACACGAAAGCGUGGGUAGCAAACAGGAUUAGAUACCCUGGUAGUCCACGCCCUAAACGAUGCAUAUUUGGUGUAUGUCAUUCAGUUGAUCUGUGCCGGAGCUAACGCGUUAAAUAUGCCGCCUGGGGAGUACAGUCGCAAGGCUGAACUCAAGGAAUUGACGGGGGCCCGCACAAGCGGUGGAGCAUGUGGUUCAAUUCGACGCAACGCGAAGAACCUUACCUGGGCUCGAACGGCUAGUCAACGAUCG
Molecule: ribosomal RNA, 961 nt
Filed under: uncultured bacterium
Lineage: Bacteria
Description: bacterial SSU rRNA
Rfam family: Bacterial small subunit ribosomal RNA
Source: RNAcentral